AGUACGGCGAGUGAGCGGCAAAGCUCAAUUUGAAAUCUGGUACCUUUGGUGCCCGAGUUGUAAUUUGGAGAGUACCACUUUGGGACUGUACUUUGCCUAUGUUCCUUGGAACAGGACGUCAUGGAGGGUGAGAAUCCCGUGUGGCGAGGGUGUCAGUUCUUUGUAAAGGGUGCUCGAAGAGUCGAGUUGUUUGGGAAUGCAGCUCUAAGUGGGUGGUAAAUUCCAUCUAAAGCUAAAUACAGGCGAGAGACCGAUAGCGAACAAGUACAGUGAUGGAAAGAUGAAAAGAACUUUGAAAAGAGAGUGAAAAAGUACGUGAAAUUGUUGAAAGGGAAGGGCAUUUGAUCAGACAUGGUGUUUUGCGCCCCUUGCCUCUCGUGGGCUUGGGACUCUCGCAGCUCACUGGGCCAGCAUCGGUUUUGGCGGCCGGAAAAAACCUAGGGAAUGUGGCUCUGCGCCUCGGUGUAGAGUGUUAUAGCCCUGGGGAAUACGGCCAGCCGGGACCGAGGACUGCGAUACUUGUUAUCUAGGAUGCUGGCAUAAUGGUUAUAUGCCGCCCGUC
Molecule: ribosomal RNA, 562 nt
Filed under: Lodderomyces parapsilosis
Lineage: Eukaryota; Fungi; Ascomycota; Pichiomycetes; Serinales; Debaryomycetaceae
Description: Candida parapsilosis partial large subunit ribosomal RNA
Rfam family: Eukaryotic large subunit ribosomal RNA
Source: RNAcentral